AACGAACGCUGGCGGCGCGCCUAACACAUGCAAGUCGAACGAGAAUCCGGGGCAACCCGGUAGUAAAGUGGCAAACGGGUGAGGAAUACAUGGGUAACCUGCCUUUCAGUGGGGGAUAACAGUUCGAAAGGGCUGCUAAUACCGCAUUCGUCGACGAGCACUCAUGUGCUUGUGGAGAAAGGGGCGCAAGUCUCGCUGGAAGAUGGGCCCGCGGUCCAUUAGCUAGUUGGUGGGUAAAGGCCUACCAAGGCUUCGAUGGAUAGCUGGUCUGAGAGGAUGAUCAGCCACACUGGAACUGAGACACGGUCCAGACUCCUACGGGAGGCAGCAGUGGGGAAUAUUGGGCAAUGGGCGAAAGCCUGACCCAGCCACGCCGCGUGAGUGAUGAAGGCCCUCGGGUCGUAAAGGCUCUGUGGAGAGGGACGAAAACCCNGGUUUCAAAUAGGCUCCAGGCUUGACGGUACCUCUUUAGCAAGCACCGGCUAACUCUGUGCCAG
Molecule: ribosomal RNA, 497 nt
Filed under: uncultured bacterium
Lineage: Bacteria
Description: bacterial SSU rRNA
Rfam family: Bacterial small subunit ribosomal RNA
Source: RNAcentral